This 4248-nucleotide long non-coding RNA is filed under the name Cavia porcellus (domestic guinea pig). Its description in RNAcentral is "lncRNA (ENSCPOG00000036403.1)". The record is from RNAcentral. Lineage: Eukaryota; Metazoa; Chordata; Mammalia; Rodentia; Caviidae.
UUCACUGCAGGCUUGAUAAAGUGACCACAUUCCUCCUGCCAAAAAAAGUUUACUCAUUGCGACAAAUGAUCUGCAACAGUAUACCUCUGAGGUGUGUUCAAAGGAAUCAAACGUUUUCAAGAAAACAGUGAAAUCUUACAAGGAACAAGGUAUUUCCACCACCUCAAAAAGCACACAUACAACUCCAGAACCUCAAAAAGAACAACAUGAACCAGCUUUUCAGAAUGCAGAAUCUAGAUCUCUUGAUGAAGAAAUAAGUACAUGUGUAGAAAAAAAUAUGCCUCAUUCAUCUCAGGAUGAUGUGGUUAUAUCUGAUAAAGAAGGAAGAACUGAUGGUGCUUCUGAGUCUGAACAGAAGGGAGGCAGAACAUCGUCUUCAAAAGCCUCACUCUCCAGACCUGGCAGAAGACCACUGGGAUUUUUAGCUUUAAUAUGUUCAAAGAAUAAUUUGGAGUCUGAUGAACCUACUCGUGUCCAUAGUAAAAAGCGCUUAAAACCUCUUCUACCUAUAUCAAGACGGAAUUUGAAAAGAUCUAAUCCACCUGAUGAGACCCAGAAAAAAAAUAAGGAGUCCUCUGAUGUGCUUCCAUCUCCAAGUGAUGUCACCAGUACUCAAGCUGAGGAUACUAGCAGUUCUGCAACUCAGGUUUCUUGUGAUCAGCCAUCACUAAAAGAAGAAUGUGAAAGCGGCCGAAGGCGUGCACCUGAAACAGAGGAAGCCACCACAGUCUCAGAAUAUUUCUUCAAUGAUAUCUUUAUUGAAGUAGAUGAAGCAGAAUAAAACAGUCUUUGGGUUUUUUUCUCUUAUUUUUUUUCCAUUUUAAUUCUGGGAUUCCUAGAGCCACUUGCAACAACAAAGCAGUUUAGAGAAAGGCAUCACUGUCUGUUUUUCUUUAGGUUGGUUUUUAAUAUUUAGUGAACUUGAUUUGAAACGUUCAUAAUCAGUGGAAAACAUUGCUGAGGUUCCUCUCAUUCUGGCUGAUUGGGCUUUUUGGAAGGCACCAAGCAGUGGUGGCCUCUGAGAGAAACAGCGACCCUGUUUACAUUUCCACCCUGCUUGCUCUGGUGCUGAUGCUGACGGUGACGUGUGGACAUGUGUGGGAUUGUCAGGGACAAAUGUUGGGAGAAAUCAGUGCCAGCUUACUGGGAUGCCAUUGUAUUUAUUGUUUAGCAAACUUCUUUUUGUAAUGUUUUGUUCUCUUUCUUUUUCUUUCCUUUUUGGGGAGAAUGAGGAAGGCAUUUUCAGUUGCCUCCUAAGUGUACAAAAGCAAAUUGUGAAUCUCCACUUUAGUAUGUGACCAUUACAAAUUUUCUAUUGUCAGCUGUUUGCCUGAAAAACAUAUUUUUGUAUUUCAUAGUUAUGUAACAUUAGUCCUAAUUGAAGAACUAGUAUUUAAUAUUUAUAAAGAUGACAAAUCAGAGUUUAUUUAUUUUUAUUUUUUUGUACUGGGGCUCAAACUCACAACCUCGAGCUUGUCAGGCAGGCAUUUAUGCCUCUAAGCUAAAUCCCCAGCCCUUAUUUUAAAAUUUUUUAUUUAAAAGGAUACUCAAUUUUAAUUAUUUUGUUUUUCUUUUUUUUUUUUUUUUUUUUUUUUUUUUUGUCUUUUUCCUUUUUAUUGGUACCGGAGAUCGAACUCAUGACUGCCUGCUUGCAAGGCAGGCGCUUAUGCCGCUGAGCUAAAUCCCCAGCCCCCAAUUUUAAUUAUUUUCACCCCUCAGAUUGUGUGUAAAGAAGGCUUUUUAAAAUUUUUUAUUUUUUUUGUUUUUUGGUACCGGGGAUCGAACUCAUGACCUCGUGCUUGCGAGGCAGGCACUUACGCCACUAAGCUAAAUCCCUGGCCCAAGAAGGCAUUAUUAACAAAUUCAUAUUUGCCUCUUUUCCUCUUUUUCCCUUUUAAAGAUAUUUACAAUAAUAUAACUAGAAAUUUUGGGGUAGGUUUUUUUUUUUUUGUUUUUUUUUUUGAGACGGUCUUGCUAUGUAGUUCAGACUGACCUUGAACUCAUUAUGUAGCAUAAGCUGGCCUCCUACUCAGAGGGAUAAUCCUGUCUCUGCCUUCUGAGUGCUGAGAUUAUGGGUGUGUACCACCAUGCCCUUGUAUAUGUAUGUUUUGAGUACUUUUUUCUCUCGUAGUGUAGUGUAUUGAUUUGGAACUGUGAAUGUUUUUGCUUUUCCUCUAUUUUAGAUAAUCUCAGGAUUUUCAGGAGGAGAAAAUCUCAACUUCUGUCUCUAAGGCAAAUCUCCUUUACAUACACACACAUACAUACUCCUUUUUUAAAACCACAAUUUCUUAAUAUUUUUUUACCCCAUUAAAUUAUAGUCAAGGAGCACUUAGACCAUUAAGCACAAGAUACAAGCAGAAGUAAGGUGAUACGACUUUUUUUUUCUGGUACUGAGAAUCAAACUCACAACCUUGCACUUACCAGGGACGUGCUUAAGCCUCUAAGCUAAAUCCCCAGCCCAAAGAUUUUUUUUCUUUUGAGACAAGAUCUUGCUAUUUAGUGCAGGCCAUUCGUGAACUCAACUUAUAUGUAGCCCAUGUUAGGUUGAACUCAUGAUCAUCCUCCUGCCUCAGGCUUCUGAAUGCGGGGACACAAGACUUUUAUGAAGUUAGUAGUUAUCAAUAUUAAUUUAAAUGAUUUUACUUUUGAAAUUUUAUGCUUUAUGUGUGUAUGUUCCAGAGAUAUAUGUAAUGUGUGCAUAUAUAAUAUAUGUAUAAUAUCAAUCUACCUGAGCAAAUUUUUCCGAAACAGAUUUCUCAAAGAGCAGAUAUAUUCUGAUUCCAUUUGGAAAGUCUCUUAUGUUGCAAAUACUUUAGCUCAGGAGUUGCAAGAUAAUUUUGGGUUCUCAAGCUUCAUGGUCUCUGGCAGCUCCUUAGCUCCCCUAUUUUAUGCGGAGGCAGCUGCAGGUCCCCCUCCCCCUUCAAAUGAAGGGCUGUGCCUGGACUAUGUUGAGCUUGGUCCUUGCUCUAGAUAGUUCUCUUUAAGGUGCUGAGAGCUGUGUGUGAGUUAUUUGUCACUGAAACUCUUGAGUUAUACCUACAGCUGUGUUAAUAGCUUUAUGAAUUUGUGGUAUUUCAAAUGGAAAAGUGUUGUAAAGUCUAAAUGAUUUUAGUGUUUGUAUAUUGAAAGAUGGUGGCCAUUUUUCAGGCUCCUUAGUAAAAUGGACAGUGGCCCAGUGAGUCCAACAGUGAUGGAACUCGCUCUUAGAAUUGUUCUCCCUCCUUUCUCCUCUUUCCCCUCUCUUUCCUUCUCUUCCCUUCUUUUCCCUUCUUUUCCCUUCCUGAGACAGGGUUUCUCUGUGUAGUUCAGGCUGGCUUGCACUCACUGUAUAGCCCAGGAUGGCCUUGAACUAAUGAUGAUCCUCUUGUCUCAGCUACUUGAGUGCUGGGAUUACAGGUUUGCAUCACCACGCACAGCUUCUUAGAGCAUUUCUUACUUGUUGCCUUACAGUGAAAUUUCCAGUUUCACUUUACCAUUGUGCCGUAAAGGAUGAUCUAUAAAUCUGAGUGGAAAUUCUAUACAAUUAUGCAUUUAUUUAUUUCAUGUGAUUCAUAUAUCAAAAAUCAUGGAAUAAAUCACAUCGCAGUUUUAAUAAUCUGUUUUUGUAAAUUUUUAAGUAUCAUUCCGUAAAGGUAUCUUUCUGUUAGUGUUAGUGUGGGUGUUGGAUUGCCAUGACUAAACUAUUUAUCCCUGUAUAAUAUUUAUUUUUUAACUUUGUUAAUAUCUGUCUCACAGAUGUUCAACCAAUUUUAUGGAAGAUAUGAUUUCUUACUCUGUAAUGGGUGCAGGGACAUUCAUUGUAUGAAGAAUCAUGUCAGUCAAACAAUUGUCCUGUUCUACCCUAUAAACUAACCUUGGAAAAACAGAAACUUAUCUAGUACAUUUAUCUUACAAGGUGGAAAUAUCUGUGUUAAAUCUACUUGAGGUAAAGAUGUUACAAACAUUUAUAAAUCUUAAAGGAGACGUGAUAAAAAGUGUUUAUAUUUUUCUCCUGAAUGCUUAUAUCUUAACAAGUGACCAGCAUGAUGGUUUAAAAGCCUAAUUGUUGGUAAAUGAUUGAGGCACAGGUAAAAACAGUAAUAGCCACUGUUUACUACCAUAUUAAAUACAGGUGACCAUGUAUAUAAUUUUGCUUAAAAAUGUCUUUGAUGAAAAAGCAAUACUGUCAUAUGUAAAUUUUCUUGUUUUAAAGAAAGCAGUUAUGUUCCAUAGAUAUAAAUUAUGUAAAUAAAAGUUAUUUUAUACUAU